AUGGUCAUUGCAACUACACACAUACUAAAAUAGUAAUGUUAAUUAGUGAAAAUUAACAUGGUCCUUGGACAAGGAUGACAUGCAAAUUUGUAAAGCUUUCAAUAUUUAU
Small nuclear RNA from Otolemur garnettii (small-eared galago), 109 nucleotides. NCBI's taxonomy places the organism in Eukaryota, Metazoa, Chordata, Mammalia, Primates, Galagidae. The record is from Ensembl.